This 497-nucleotide ribosomal RNA is filed under the name uncultured bacterium. RNAcentral describes it as "partial 16S ribosomal RNA". It matches the Rfam family "Bacterial small subunit ribosomal RNA", at positions 28 to 507 of the family's 1533-position model. The record is from RNAcentral.
GAUGAACGCUGGCGGCGUGCCUAAUACAUGCAAGUCGAGCGAACGGACGAGAAGCUUGCUUCUCUGAUGUUAGCGGCGGACGGGUGAGUAACACGUGGAUAACCUACCUAUAAGACUGGGAUAACUUCGGGAAACCGGAGCUAAUACCGGAUGAUAUUUUGAACCGCAUGGUUCAAAAGUGAAAGACGGUCUUGCUGUCACUUAUAGAUGGAUCCGCGCUGCAUUAGCUAGUUGGUAAGGUAACGGCUUACCAAGGCAACGAUGCAUAGCCGACCUGAGAGGGUGAUCGGCCACACUGGAACUGAGACACGGUCCAGACUCCUACGGGAGGCAGCAGUAGGGAAUCUUCCACAAUGGGCGAAAGCCUGACGGAGCAACGCCGCGUGAGUGAUGAAGGUCUUCGGAUCGUAAAACUCUGUUAUUAGGGAAGAACAUAUGUGUAAGUAACUGUGCACAUCUUGACGGUACCUAAUCAGAAGGCCACGGCUAACUACGUG